Molecule: ribosomal RNA, 468 nt
Filed under: uncultured bacterium
Lineage: Bacteria
Description: partial 16S ribosomal RNA
Rfam family: Bacterial small subunit ribosomal RNA
Source: RNAcentral
GACGAACGCUGGCGGCGUGCUUAACACAUGCAAGUCGAACGGAAAGGCCCUGCUUUUGUGGGGUGCUCGAGUGGCGAACGGGUGAGUAACACGUGAGUAACCUGCCCUUGACUUUGGGAUAACUUCAGGAAACUGGGGCUAAUACCGGAUAGGAGCUCCUGCUGCAUGGUGGGGGUUGGAAAGUUUCGGCGGUUGGGGAUGGACUCGCGGCUUAUCAGCUUGUUGGUGGGGUAGUGGCUUACCAAGGCUUUGACGGGUAGCCGGCCUGAGAGGGUGACCGGCCACAUUGGGACUGAGAUACGGCCCAGACUCCUACGGGAGGCAGCAGUGGGGAAUAUUGAACAAUGGGCGGAAGCCUGAUGCAGCAACGCCGCGUGCGGGAUGACGGCCUUCGGGUUGUAAACCGCUUUCGCCUGUGACGAAGCGUGAGUGAUGGUAAUGGGUAAAGAAGCACCGGCUAACUACGUG